UAUUGGUCAAUGGGCGCUAGCCUGAACCAGCCAAGUAGCGUGAAGGAUGACUGCCCUAUGGGUUGUAAACUUCUUUUAUAUGGGAAUAAAGUGCAGUAUGUAUACUGCUUUGCAUGUACCUUAUGAAUAAGGAUCGGCUAACUCCGUGCCAGCAGCCGCGGUAAUACGGAGGAUGCGAGCGUUAUCCGGAUUUAUUGGGUUUAAAGGGUGCGCAGGCGGAAGAUCAAGUCAGCAGUAAAAUUGAGAGGCUCAACCUCUUCGAGCCGUUGAAACUGGUUUUCUUGAGUGAGCGAGAAGUAUGCGGAAUGCGUGGUGUAGCGGUGAAAUGCAUAGAUAUCACGCAGAACUCCGAUUGCGAAGGCAGCAUACCGGCGCUCAACUGACGCUCAUGCACGAAAGUGUGGGUAUCG
Molecule: ribosomal RNA, 410 nt
Filed under: uncultured bacterium
Lineage: Bacteria
Description: bacterial SSU rRNA
Rfam family: Bacterial small subunit ribosomal RNA
Source: RNAcentral